This is a non-coding RNA of Caenorhabditis elegans, 171 nucleotides long. Lineage: Eukaryota; Metazoa; Nematoda; Chromadorea; Rhabditida; Rhabditidae. The record is from Ensembl.
CGUGGUUUUCAAUGAAAAAUCUCAGAAUUUGGAUUAUUUUUCGGGGCAAAACUGUCAAUAUUGUGAUCAAAUUCAAAUUUUAUCGAAAAAUGCCACGUGGCGGCCGUUUCUAGUGAGCUGCUCAUUGGAGCGCACUUGCAUCAAGCGGUCGGCGGGAAUUUUGAAUUUUUG